RNAcentral lists this small nuclear RNA (280 nucleotides) under Sorex araneus (European shrew). RNAcentral describes it as "7SK RNA (ENSSARG00000020083.1)". It matches the Rfam family "7SK RNA", at positions 1 to 290 of the family's 331-position model. Rfam says of the family: 7SK was discovered as an abundant small nuclear RNA in the mid-70s but a possible function has only recently been suggested. Lineage: Eukaryota; Metazoa; Chordata; Mammalia; Eulipotyphla; Soricidae. The record is from RNAcentral.
GGACGUGAGGCUGAUCUGGCUGUCACCCCAUUGAUUGCUAGGGUUCAUUCAGCUCAUCUUGCUGGCUAGGUGGGUGACUCCUUCCUCUCUCAUCACUCUGUGUGUUCUUCCCCAAGCUAAGUGCUGGCUUGAAAAGUACUGCCUCCUUGGAAGAGAAACAAAUUGUUUACAUGAAGCUGUACUUCCUAGUCCGAAAUUCCAAACAAGUUCUCAAGAAAUCAUCUCCGUAGCUCCUUAACCUUAAGAAAGCCAGAGGGGAGAAGUGACAAGAAUUCAGUUU